AAUCCUCCUGCUUCAGCCUCCCAAAUGCUAGGAUUGUAGCUCACCGGAUUUGAGUUGAGAGAAGACUUCCGUCAGUCAGAAAAUGAAGGAGCCUAAAACAGCAUCCAUCUCACCCCAGAGACGGAACAAUCCAUUUCAUAAAUACGGCAUUAAAGCUGAAAUAUACAGGCUGUAACUCUAAGGAGAUCCGCCAGCUGGUGUGUGAGAAGCGGCUGCAGCGGAUGCUGAGUGAAGACUGCUCUCCCCCGCUGCAGGAGGUCAUUAAGGAGUGCCGGGCCUACCAGCCUUCUGAGCAGCUCUCUGUGGACAAAAUCCUAGAGAAACUGUCUGCCUUUACUGAUAGUGUGUGAAAACCUGAAGCCAGCAGUCCUGGACAAGCAGCUGAGAGAAACACAAAUUGGAUGUCUCCGACCUGAAAAUGUCAAUAAACGAUCUCCUGUGUUCACACCUCUUGGCAAUGUGACUUUUGUACUUGUACCAUUAAGCAGUGCAGUCUCACAGUGCCCACCUGUAAUUGUAGCACACAGGAGGCUGAGGCAGGAGGAACACCAGGAGUUUGAGGCCAACCUGGA
This is a long non-coding RNA of Fukomys damarensis (Damara mole-rat), 572 nucleotides long. RefSeq lists it as uncharacterized. The transcript is spliced from 4 exons. Lineage: Eukaryota; Metazoa; Chordata; Mammalia; Rodentia; Bathyergidae. The record is from RefSeq and is a predicted model, not a curated record.